Molecule: unclassified non-coding RNA, 265 nt
Filed under: Melitaea cinxia (Glanville fritillary)
Lineage: Eukaryota; Metazoa; Arthropoda; Insecta; Lepidoptera; Nymphalidae
Description: misc RNA ENSMCXG00005004820.1
Source: RNAcentral
AACACAUCAAACAGGAAAUAAAUGAAAAAAAUGCUGAAAUUGAAAAAUACAAGAAAUGUAUUCUUGAAAGUGCAGAUGCGUUUCAGGAAUUAGAGACUUCAAAUAUCAUAUUUUUCAGAAACAAAUGCAGAAUGCAAAUGAACAAGAAACAAAAUUAAGAAAUGAUAUUAAGGACAAAACGGAAUGUAUAAAAGAACUUGAAAAGAAACAGCAUUUUUUACUUCAACAGUCGCAAGAAAAUGAAUCUAAAAUGGAAAUGUACGAG